AGUGGGGAAUAUUGGACAAUGGGGGCAACCCUGAUCCAGCCAUGCCGCGUGAGUGAUGAAGGCCUUAGGGUUGUAAAGCUCUUUCGCCGGUGAAGAUAAUGACGGUAACCGGAGAAGAAGCCCCGGCUAACUUCGUGCCAGCAGCCGCGGUAAUACGAAGGGGGCUAGCGUUGUUCGGAAUUACUGGGCGUAAAGCGCACGUAGGCGGACUGUUAAGUCGGGGGUGAAAUCCCAGGGCUCAACCCUGGAACUGCCUCCGAUACUGGCUGUCUUGAGUCCGGGAGAGGUGAGUGGAAUUCCGAGUGUAGAGGUGAAAUUCGUAGAUAUUCGGAAGAACACCAGUGGCGAAGGCGGCUCACUGGCCCGGUACUGACGCUGAGGUGCGAAAGCGUGGGGAGCAAA
Molecule: ribosomal RNA, 402 nt
Filed under: uncultured Pleomorphomonas sp.
Lineage: Bacteria; Pseudomonadati; Pseudomonadota; Alphaproteobacteria; Hyphomicrobiales; Pleomorphomonadaceae
Description: bacterial SSU rRNA
Rfam family: Bacterial small subunit ribosomal RNA
Source: RNAcentral